CCUACGGGAGGCAGCAGUGAGGAAUAUUGGUCAAUGGGCGGGAGCCUGAACCAGCCAAGUCGCGUGAGGGAAGACGGUCCUAUGGAUUGUAAACCUCUUUAGGCGGGGAGCAAUGCCGGGCACGUGUGCCCGGAGGGAGAGUACCCGCAGAAUAAGCAUCGGCUAACUCCGUGCCAGCAGCCGCGGUAAUACGGAGGCUGCGAGCGUUAUCCGGAUUUAUUGGGUUUAAAGGGUGCGUAGGCGGAGUUUUAAGUCAGCGGUAAAAUGUCCGGGCUCAACCCGGGCCGGCCGUUGAAACUGGGGGUCUUGAGUGGGCGAGAAGUAUGCGGAAUGCGUGGUGUAGCGGGGAAAUGCAUAGAUAGCACGCAGAACUCCGAUUGCGAAGGCAGCAUACCGGCGCCCGACUGACGCUGAGGCACGAAAGCGUGGGGAUCGAACAGGAUUAGAUACCCUUGUAGUC
This 460-nucleotide ribosomal RNA is filed under the name uncultured bacterium. RNAcentral's name for it is "partial 16S ribosomal RNA". It matches the Rfam family "Bacterial small subunit ribosomal RNA", at positions 338 to 795 of the family's 1533-position model. The record is from RNAcentral.